GUUUCAUCAUUCAUAAAUGUGCGCUAGUUAUUGACUCUUAACACUUUCUGAGUAUCAUUGAAUAGUGUUUUUACAUCUAGUGUCAGAGGCUGUCAGGUAUUCAACUUUGUCAGAUUUCCUUUUGUUGUUCCAUAUAACUUCUCAAAGUGACAAGCUGUGGUCAUGACAAGAUCAACACAUUUAUUUUGUCCCUGGAUAGGUCGUUUUUGUUUAGCAGCCAGAGAUAUACUGUAACAUGAUGCUAACCUGUCUGAUGUUUGGCUUGUAACAGGAAGGAGGUGGAGGCCCUGGAAGUGGAACUGAACUCUGAGCAUGCUCAGAAGGUGGCAGAGCUGGAGCAGACCAUGAAGCAGAAACUGAGAGAACGACAGAAAGUGUACGAGGAAGCCUUCAACCAAGACGUGCAGCAAUACCUGUCCACUGGAUACCUGCAGCACAGAGAGCAAGCAGGAACAGACGUGCGUGUUCUGGAUCAGAUGAC
Molecule: long non-coding RNA, 481 nt
Organism: Notothenia coriiceps (black rockcod)
Lineage: Eukaryota; Metazoa; Chordata; Actinopteri; Perciformes; Nototheniidae
Exons: 3
Source: RefSeq, a predicted model, not a curated record